RNAcentral lists this long non-coding RNA (1198 nucleotides) under Solanum tuberosum (potato). RNAcentral's name for it is "long non-coding RNA (STUB_LNC006697)". Lineage: Eukaryota; Viridiplantae; Streptophyta; Magnoliopsida; Solanales; Solanaceae. The record is from RNAcentral.
GGAGCUUCAAGCUCCGAUUAACCGGAGCAAAUCCAGUCGCGACUCAGUCCCCUUCCCCUUCCCCUUGACGAGUUUGGUUUGUUUUGCAGGUGUAAGAUCUCCAUCUCCGACGUGACUCCAACACCGGUGAGCGACAAUCAGAUCUGGCUUGAAUUGUGACCUAUUCUGUCUUACCAUUGAAGAAAUAAAGCUCAAAUGAAGGUCUGUUCAUUUUCUUUUUCCAUUAAUAUUCUUCCUUUUUAUUGUUCUGUUUCUUUUCAAUAAUGAUAUGAUCUUUGGUAUCUUAAUUAGUUGUUAGUGUCUGAUUUCUUUAAAAUCCUUCUGUUGACACCCAAUUUUGGCCAACAUUUUCAAAAUUCGUAACUUUUAAGUUUUAUUUAUUUAAUAGUUCAAAAUAAUUUUUUUAAUAAGUUUAUCGAUAACUAUCCUUAUUUAUCAAAAUUUAGGAUUUUUUAUCAGUUAAUUUUAAAAUUGCAUUUUUACAAGUCAUUAGUUACGUUCAUUAUUUUUUUUUAUAUUCAUUUUAUUCGUUAUAUUUAUUAAUACUCAUUCUGAUAGUUUGCACAAUCUAGAAAUUCAUUCAAAUACAGAUAUUUUAUUUGAUCGAUAAUUUUGGGCCACAAUCCCAAGCCCACAAAUUGAGCCCAAUUAACAAUUAUUUCCUAUAUAAGUUUUGGUUAGGUUAAAAAAUAGGGGUGGUGAAAUAAAAAUUAGGGUGGGUGUAUAAUUUUCAGAAUGAGUAUGGAUGUAUUUUUUCCUUUUUUGAGCCGCCAAGGUCUCACCACAGCCAUCCAAAAACCCACUUCGUCCUCUUUUCCGGCGAGACUCCAUCAGAACCAACCCACAACAACUCCAAACAAAUCCAAAACCACCAAAAGACCAUUGUCCUCCCUUACUACAUGCUACGGUUCACUGACUAGGGAAGCCAUUGACACCGCUCCGAAGAAACAACCAUUUUCCCUCUUCUGUUUAUUUCUCUUGCGGCUAGCUCUGGUGAGGAGCUUCAAGCUCCGAUUAACCGGAGCAAAUCCAGUCGCGACUCAGUCCCCUUCCCCUUCCCCUUGACGAGUUUGGUUUGUUUUGCAGGUGUAAGAUCUCCAUCUCCGACGUGACUCCAACACCGGUGAGCGACAAUCAGAUCUGGCUUGAAUUGUGACCUAUUCUGUCUUACCAUUGAAGAAAUAAAGCUCAAAUGAAG